Molecule: ribosomal RNA, 450 nt
Filed under: uncultured bacterium
Lineage: Bacteria
Description: partial 16S ribosomal RNA
Rfam family: Bacterial small subunit ribosomal RNA
Source: RNAcentral
GUGGGGAAUAUUGGACAAUGGGCGAAAGCCUGAUCCAGCCAUGCCGCGUGUGUGAAGAAGGUCUUCGGAUUGUAAAGCACUUUAAGUUGGGAGGAAGGGCAGUAAGUUAAUACCUUGCUGUUUUGACGUUACCGACAGAAUAAGCACCGGCUAACUUCGUGCCAGCAGCCGCGGUAAUACGAAGGGUGCAAGCGUUAAUCGGAAUUACUGGGCGUAAAGAGCGCGUAGGUGGUUUUGUAAGUUGGAGGUGAAAUCCCCGGGCUCAAACUGGGAACUGCCUCCAAAACUGCAUGACUAGAGUACGGUAGAGGGUAGUGGAAUUUCCUGUGUAGCGGUGAAAUGCGUAGAUAUAGGAAGGAACACCAGUGGCGAAGGCGACUACCUGGACUGAUACUGACACUGAGGUGCGAAAGCGUGGGGAGCAAACAGGAUUAGAUACCCGAGUAGUCC